Long non-coding RNA from Oreochromis aureus, 2023 nucleotides. NCBI's taxonomy places the organism in Eukaryota, Metazoa, Chordata, Actinopteri, Cichliformes, Cichlidae. The record is from Ensembl.
GGAAUUUCGGAUUUUACACAGGUGGUUGGAUGUUACACUCUGGAAAUGGAAGGAAGGAAUGUCACUGUGGCAAUUACAGGUGGUUAAGAGAUUAACAUUCCCUGCACAUCACCACCUGUCAUGAGACACUUCCUCAUACCAAAUCAUUCAGCGAGGAGAAAGCAGAUAAAAUGCGUGUGAGUCAAAGUGAGGCUGUGUUUGGAGGUGUUUGCGCACAGAGAUGAACACAUUUACCAUGUCUCUCUCUUUGCUACUGCUGCUGCUGGUUUACAGCACGCAAGCUACUCAUUUUUAUGGGACAGUGAUGACCUAUUACCCAGGAGACACUUAUGCAGAUGGAUCAGUUAUGGCGACUAUUCGAUACAAGCUGAACUUCCACCAAUGCACAGACAGUGACACAUGGAGUUGCCUCAGUGGUGACUGUGGCUCUGGGAACAACACACUAUAUGAGGUAAAACAGGAAAGCAGUGGAGAGUGGUGUCAGAGAGAGGGAAUCAUGACUUGAUGGGCUCCCAGCAAUGCUCCGUUCAAGCUUUGGUUGAAUAGUGGUAACUGGAUUAAUGGCAUUGUAAAUGGCAUUGUAUCAUGGAGAGCUGUGACUCUGGUGGAACUGAGGAACAGAUCUGACACCGCAAAAAACCAACUCGUCACCCCAGACCACCAACAUACCUGCUGUGAGAGUUCCCUCAAACUGUAAGAGAAAUUUCGUCUUGUUGGCGUUUGACCCUGAUGGAGAUGUGGUUAAGUGCAGAAAUGGAGAUGCAUUACUGUCAGAGUGUAAUCCAUACACUCCACCAUCUGUCCUCAGCCUCUCACCAUCUUGUACUCUGUCAUUCAGACCCACUGAUAGCAGUAAUGAAGGUCCAUAUGCAGUACAGCUGGUGAUGGAGGACUUUCCCCGGCAGAACAUAACCCUGACUCAAACCAAUGGGACACAGACUAAUCUAACUACCAACAAUGCAAUCAGCAAAAUACCGGUCCAGUUCGUUAUAAGGGUGGAUCCUGCAGUGCCAUCCUGCACAGACGGACUCUAUCUGCCCAAGAUCCUGCCUCCAACUCCAGCCAACGGAGCUCAGCUAUAUACCCCUGUUGGACAAACUCUAGAAAUCAGCAUCAAAGCAGAGGCAACAAAUUCCAUGUAUGUGAAAGAGAAAACAAAAUUAAAAUACCAAAGUUUAAAGAUAGGUUUUGCUACUGGCAGCGGUUGGACAAGAAAUACCACUCUACGUUGGAAGACUUUCUAUACUCUCCAAAAUGUGAUACAGGAAAAGACAAGACCAAGAACAAACUUGAAUACCACCUAACAUUCAGAGUAGUGCUGUCAGCGUUAAUCUCGUUAAAAUGGCGUUAACGCCAUAACCGCAUUAACGUGGCAAAUCUCUGUUAGCGAGUUAACACGGAUCGCCCCAUGUGAGGUGCUGCGAGGAGCUAACGCGUUAACGAGUUAACCGUGCUAACGCAUUGGCGCCAUGCAGCCCUCGAGAUUUGCCACAUUAAUGCAGUUAUGACAUUAACGUCAUUUUAACGAGAAUAACGCUGACAGCACUAAUUCAGAUACAUAAAAAACUUGAAAAAUGUUGAUUUGACUACUUUUAAGUUGUGUGGAAUUACAGGGAUUAUUUUACAUAACCACCAUCUUAUCAUUGCAUUAAUUAUCAUUUCAUCAAAGUGUUUAUUGAAGCUGCUGGCAUUAUGUUAUAAUUUAUAUUAUAGGGGUUAUCCUAAUCAAAUAUUAACAUGUUUAUUACAGGUGCAGUUAUAACUACUUUAAAAUGAUUGAGUUAAAUAUAUAUGUAUCAUAACUCAUAUGCUGAGUAUAUUGGUAGAGUAAAAUAGUAGCUGAGUAAAGGCCUGAAUGUAUUCAGCUUCUUGUGGUAUUUGAGUUUGCUUAGUUACAGGUGACGGAAGGAUGUCCAGUCCAUGGUGACCUCAAAAGCCUUAGGUCAUCACCAUAUUCGGAAGAGUAUGCCACAAGGAGGAACCUCUAUGUUGCAUUUAAUUCUUAAAAUACAUGAAUGUUCUG